UAGGGAAUCUUCGGCAAUGGACGAAAGUCUGACCGAGCAACGCCGCGUGAGUGAAGAAGGUUUUCGGAUCGUAAAACUCUGUUGUUAGAGAAGAACAAGGACGUUAGUAACUGAACGUCCCCUGACGGUAUCUAACCAGAAAGCCACGGCUAACUACGUGCCAGCAGCCGCGGUAAUACGUAGGUGGCAAGCGUUGUCCGGAUUUAUUGGGCGUAAAGCGAGCGCAGGCGGUUUCUUAAGUCUGAUGUGAAAGCCCCCGGCUCAACCGGGGAAGGUCAUUGGAAACUGGGAAACUUGAGUGCAGAAGAGGAGAGUGGAAUUCCAUGUGUAGCGGUGAAAUGCGUAGAUAUAUGGAGGAACACCAGUGGCGAAGGCGGCUCUCUGGUCGGUAACUGACGCUGAGGCUCGAAAGCGUGGGGAGCAAACAGG
Molecule: ribosomal RNA, 429 nt
Filed under: Gemmatimonadota bacterium
Lineage: Bacteria; Pseudomonadati; Gemmatimonadota
Description: Gemmatimonadetes bacterium partial 16S ribosomal RNA
Rfam family: Bacterial small subunit ribosomal RNA
Source: RNAcentral